The sequence is a ribosomal RNA, 571 nucleotides long. It matches the Rfam family "Bacterial large subunit ribosomal RNA", at positions 2049 to 2651 of the family's 2925-position model. The record is from Rfam.
CUCUGUGAAGAUGCGGAGUGCCAACGCCUAGACGGUAAGACCCCGUAAGAUGCAGAGUACCAACCACUCUUUCGUAUAAGGAUGCCUAACCGCCGCACCGAGAAUUGGUUGUUUUUGUGGGGGGACACUCCGAGGUGGUUAGUUUAACGGAGGUGUGCGAAGGUAGGCUCAAGCUAAGAUUCUGCUCGUGAGCGUAAUGGUAUAAGCCUUCCUGACUGUGAGACCGACUGGUUGAGGAAAGUCGGCCAUAGUGAUCCGGGAGUCCCGUGUGGAAGGGCUCUCGCUCAACGGAUCAAAGGUACGCCGGGGAUAAUAGGCUGAUGACUCCCAAGAGCUCUUAUCGACGGAGUCGUUUAGCACCUCGACCUCGAUGUCGACUCAUCACAUCCUGGGGUUGAAGAGGGUCCCAAGGGUUCGGUUGUUCGCUCAACGGAUCAAAGGUACGCCGGGGAUAACAGGUUGAUGACUCCCAAGAGCUCUUAUCGACGGAGUCCUUUGUCACCUCGAUGUCGACUCAUCACAUCCUGGGGUUGAAGAAGGUCCCAAGGGUUCAGUUCCUAUCUACCGAUUG